CGGAUGCACUGAAUGGCUGCUGAAAGGGAGGAGCUUCACACAAACUCAGAGUCCUGUUACUGAACGCCGGAGAUUUUGGGAGUGAAGGAGCAGCUCGAGUCAUUUUCUCUUUGCAGGUUUCUUCGCACAUCUAAAGGACGCAUACCUCGGGUCACGCUCUCAGGAUUGAAGCAUGGAUGAUGAUUUUGAGCGACGCAGGGAGCUCAGGAGACAGAAGCGGGAGGAGAUGCGUCUGGAAGCCGAGAGGAUGGCGAAUCGCCGGAAUGAGGAGGAUGAAGAGGAGGCCGCUCGUGAGCGCAGACGAAGAGCGCGACAGGAGAGACUGCGCGGUAAGGACGGCGAGGACGUGGCCUACCAACCCGAGACCCCGGAGCUCAACAACAGCCACAGCGUGACGGUGACAGAGAGUGUAUCCACCUCAGUGGUGUCCUCCAGCGGGACAGGAGAAGGGGACGAUGAGGAACAGGCCCUGCUGGAGCGCCUGGCCAAAAGAGAGGAGCGCAGGCAGAAGAGGAUGAUGGAGGCGCUGGACAGACAGCAGGAGCUGGAGAGCAACCAAACCCUGGAGGAGAGCCGGAGCUACGAGCCUGAGGAGGAGGAGAAACAGGUGGAGGAGGAAGAGGAAGAGGUCAUCCCUAGAGAGGAGGAGGAGGAGGUGGUGGUGGAAAAGCCACGGAGGUCUUAUUUGAGAGAACAGGAAUCUGCUGAGGAAGUAUCUAAAAUACCUGAGGAGGACAGUAAUGAGCCAGAUGCUGUGCCUUCUUCUGAACUAUAUGAGCUGGUUGUAAAUGAAGACGUAGAUGAUUCUGCAUUUUUUUUGGAGACGGAAACUGGCACCGCAGAGCUCACUGCAGGUGUACGGGAGGAAAAGAGUGAGAUAGUGGGAUUGACAGAGAAUGAAGUGGAUGAAAGAAGAGAGGCAUUAAACUUUGAGAAAUAUGAGGUUUCAGAAAAUGACGAGUCUUUGAUGGAAGAUGAGGAUGUGGUGAGGAAGAAUAAACAGCCCAAUGGAGGAGUGUGCGAGGACAGCGCUCCCAAACACAAGAAAGCUGAGAGGACUUUCAGCCGAGGCAGCGUGCGCUCUCCUGAGGCGCCGGAGGCAGACGAUGCAGACGGCGAGGAUGCUCGCUUGGAGGCCGAGAGAAAGCUGGAGGAACUGAAGAGAAGAAGAGAUGAGAUGGAGAUUGAGGAGUUCGAGAGGAUGAGGCAGAAACAGCAGGAGGCCGAAGUGGAGCUGGAGGAGCUGAAGAAGAAGAGGGAGGAGAGGAGGAAGGUGCUGGAAGAGGAGGAGCGGCGGAGGAAGCAGGAAGAGGCCGAGAUGAAAGCCAGAGAGGAGGAGGAAAAGAGGAGGAUGAAGGAGGAGAUCGAGAAGAGAAGAGCAGAGGCGGCUGAGAAGAGGCAAAAAGUGGAGGAUUCAGAGGAAGGAGAGGGCAGGAAGCCCUUUAAGUGUGUCAGUCCCAGAGGAUCCUCCCUGAAGAUCGGCGAGAGGGCAGAAUUUCUCAACAGAUCAGCACAGAAGAGUUCUGUGAAGGCAUCUCACAGUCCUGUGGUAUCUAAGAUUGAUAACCGAUUAGAGCAGUACACCAGCGCAGUGCAGGGCCAGGUCAGAUCUCCCAGAUCUGCUGCCAUAGAUCUUCCUGUGGUGACAGAUGGUAUUCGCAACAUCAAGAGCAUGUGGGAGAAGGGGAAUGUCUUCAGCUCUGGUGGGAGCCCAGCAUCCACCAACAAGGAUGCAGCUGGGAUAAAGGUGGGCGUGGCCGGCCGCAUCAACGAUUGGUUGAAUAAAACUCCAGAGACGGGCAAGAUGUCAGGAGGAAGACCCGCGGAUCUGAAACCGGGUGACGUGACAAGCAAACGCAGUCUUUGGGAAAACAAGGGGUCCUCUGCUACCAAGCCGUCCCCUUGCUAAUUGUCUACAGAUCUGACCACCUUGAGGAGGUCACAAGCAGAGGAGAGACCAAAUCCGUCACCAAUGGAACGGGCCAUUAACCUUUCAAAGAUGCCAGAGAGGCAGGGACCAAGAGAAUGCACAACAUUCCUUUUUUUAAACUUUUAUUAAUACCAAAAAAAUACAAGCAUUUUAUACUGCCAGGAAGAUCUAUGUGAGUAGACAUAGUAUAAAAGAGAGAAAAAUACAAAAAUAAAUAUAUUUUAUCACUGUAUUAACAGGGCACCAUCAUAGCAUAAACGCAAUGCCUUUGCAUGUAACUUCUGUUAAACUGAAAUCAAGGCUGUGAAAACCAGAGCAAGUACUUUGUUUUAUAACCGCAGCCAACUGCCUUGAAAAAGAGGACGAGGAGAAGCAUUCCACUUUGUCUUUUGUCAAAUCACAUUUUUGUAAACGAGUUACCCUUCUCAUCUGUUAAUUUAUAGCUAAAGCAAAGCUUCACCCUGCAUUUCAUGUCUGUUCGCCAGUUCCAGACCGAAUAUGAACACCCGUAGAGUAGCUGUUAUUUUGUACUUUUUGUCAUUACGACACUUUUUUUUUAUUGUCUUAAUAAUAUAUGUUAGCACAUAGUGUAAGUUUUUGUAAUUAACUAUAUAUUUUACUGCUUGAUACAAAAAUGGUCUUUGCUUUUGCUCUCAAUAUUAUUUUAAAUAUCAAAGCGAGUUUUAAUUCAGCAGAAGUCCUUUAAGUCAUACCAUUAUUGCAUUAUCUCUGGCUUUUUUACUUCUGGAAGCACUGGUCUGAAGUUGUGUGUGACCAACUUUUUGUUAGUGUUAAUCGUGUGAAAUAAUCAGUAUUGGUUAAGUGAAACUGUUGAACUCAAAAGAAAGGGAACGUGCACUUUUUGGCUUAAAUCACAUAUUCGAUGAGUACAUUUCACAGAUUUUAAUAAUAUAAUAUCCGAAAAGAUCCAGCAAGGACAAUGAGAAGGACAAAGUCAAUUCAUGUUUAUUGUUCAAGUGUUUCAUUUUUCAUCUUUCUGUUGCAAUCAUUCAUACUAAAUUGCAACACAGAUGUCGUCGGCUUUCAGUACAGAGCUAGAGCGUUUGUAAUGCCAUCAUUUAAAUGAAAUUAUCAUUUCUGACGUCUUUUGUCAGACAAAGAAUAUCCAGUUCUGCCGCCGUAGCUUAUCGCUCAUGUCUCUAAAUGUUCAAAGAUCCUGUAUUCUGCUUGUAUUGUUCGACAAUCAAGUUUUUUAUUAUAUGUUUCAACACUUAUGUAUUGUUUCCCACUAACACCAUGCAAGUCGUGCCAACUUAAGUUACAAACGUGACCGUUUGUAGCCAAUAGUUCCAUACAGUGCAGAUGUUUCAACUUGUAUCACUCUCUCAGUGACCACAAUAAAGAGACCAAUGAAAAACA
Carassius auratus (goldfish) is the source of this 3310-nucleotide RNA transcript. It is a transcript of the gene named non-muscle caldesmon-like, with no coding region annotated. The record is from RefSeq and is a predicted model, not a curated record. NCBI's taxonomy places the organism in Eukaryota, Metazoa, Chordata, Actinopteri, Cypriniformes, Cyprinidae. The transcript is spliced from 17 exons.